Molecule: RNA transcript, 4788 nt
Organism: Boleophthalmus pectinirostris (great blue-spotted mudskipper)
Lineage: Eukaryota; Metazoa; Chordata; Actinopteri; Gobiiformes; Gobiidae
Gene name: zinc finger protein 84-like
Exons: 3
Source: RefSeq, a predicted model, not a curated record
CAGUAGCUGCACAGAUUUAAACAAAUUUUUCUGACGUUUUUGGUUUUGAGACGCCUCCAUCCGUGUUUGAGUCAUCUAGAGAUCUCUCCUGAGCCCCUGUUUUAAACCUGUCCAGUCCGGCGCCCCCUGGUGUCUCCCUCAGGUUCAUUUGUCUCCAGCUCCAGGUCAGAAUCAAAAAACACUCGACAAUAUCCGAGUUUCACGUGACGUCACAGGGCGACGUUUGUCAGCGCAAAAUCAGACGGAGGCAAGAAGUGAAGCGACUGGAGGAAAAUGCAGAUGUGUCGUGUCGUUUACGACUGUGCCAAUCGUUCUAACCCAGAGAAGGAAAAGACAUUUUUUUUAGAGAACCGAAUACAGUCGUCCACAAAGGUCAGAAAUGGGAAAAGCCGACAGAACAACGCCGUAAAAAGUGGAUUAUAAACCAGUUUGUGUCGGGAGGAGCAGAAUUCACUAACGCUCGUGUCUGCAGUGACACUUCAACAAAGCUGCGAGGAGCCUCAAGACUUUCUCCUGGUCACCGUUAAAACUGAAGAAGAAGAAGAAGAAGAAGACAAGUCCUCUGUGCGUCGCCAAACAGCGUCCGAGGAGCCCAGAGAUGAACCCGACGGAGAGUGUGGAGCCGACAGUGAGGAGCAGACGGACAGCUCUGAGGACACUGACCGCUCAGAAGACUACAGUCCAGACCAGGCUCCGGCCUCCAGACGCUUCACUCAGACUCCUCCUGACAGACCCUUCAGCUGCUCAGGCCAGAGACCCUUCAGCUUCAGGCCAGAGACCCUUCAGCCGCUCGGACCAGAGACCCUUCAGCUGUUCGGAGUGCGGGAGAGCGUUCAAAAGCGCACAGUACCUCCGCUCUCACCUGAACAGCCACGUGUCAGCGUUGUCCUUCGUCUGCUCCGUGUGCGGCAGAUGUUUCGGCGGGAGCUUCUCUCUGCUUCAGCACCAGAGCCGGCUCCACCUCAUGUGCCCCGUCUGCCACGCGCGCUUCCUGGACAAAGCGUCUCUGAGCGAGCACCUGCGGGCUCACCAGGCGGACGAGGGGACCACGGUGGAACCCGCCUUCCUGGACCGGGGCUACCUGAGGCCUUACAGGUGCUCCCAGUGCGGGCGCGAGUUCAGCGGCGAGUCGGAGCUGCGGGCGCACAUGGUGGUCCACACGGGGGAGAAACCUUUCGGCUGCUCUGUCUGCGACAAACGUUUCCAGUUCAAAUCGAGCGUGAACAAACACCUGCGCUUCGUGCAUCACGUCUGUCCCGUUUGUAAAGCGGCAUUCAGGAGAGACGCCGACUUAAGCGAACACCUGCGGACUCAUGUGGAGGACGGCGCUUUAGACCCGGAGCUCCUCCAGGUGAAAACUCUCAAACCUUACAGCUGUUCAGAGUGCAAGAAGGCUUUUAAGAGAAGGUCGGAGCUGCAGCGGCACAUGCUCUUCCACACGGGCGAGAAACCCUUCAGCUGUUCGGUUUGUGAGAAAAGUUUUCGGUUUAAAUUCCAAAUCUACAAACACCUGCGUCUGGUGCAUCACGUCUGUCCGGUUUGUGAGGAGGUUUUCAUGAGAGACGCCGACUUAAGCGAACACCUGCGGACUCACGUGGAGGACGGGACUCUGGACCGGUCGGUUCUACAACAAGAAAACCCCAAAGUGUUCGGCUGCUCUCAGUGCGGAAAAGAGUUUAAAAGUAACUCGUAUUUACAAGUCCACAUUAAACUUCACACGGGAAUCAGCCCCUUCAGGUGCUCCGUCUGCGAGAAGAGUUUUAUAAAUAAAAGUUAUCUGAAAAUACACAAGAGAAUCCACACCGGCGAAAAACCCUUCAGCUGUUCAGUUUGUGAGAAGACCUUUAAGCAGAAGAGUUAUCUGAAGUCACACCAGAGGAUUCACACUGGAGACACGCCGUACAAGUGCUCCGUGUGUGAGAAGACGUUUGUGCAGAAAGGAUCCCUGAAACACCACGAGGCGACGCACUCCGGGGACAAACCCUUCAGCUGCUCCGUCUGUGACAAGACUUUUGCUCAAAAAGGAAACCUGAAGUUUCACGAGAGGUCUCACUCUGGAGAGAAACCUUUCAGCUGCUCCGUGUGUGAGAAGGCGUUCGCUCAGAAGGGGACGCUGAAAAUCCACCAGAGGAUUCACUCCGGAGAGAGACCUUUCAGUUGUUCGCGCUGUGACAAACGUUUUAACAGACGCGACAAUCUGAAGUCGCACCUGAGGACGCACGAAGGACCAGAGCCCGAGAAGAAGAACCCCAGGUCCUCCAGGUCUGGGGACGGUUCAAAGAAUCAAAAGUGACACUGGACCAGAGGAACACGGACACGACUGACCCUCUAAACCAGGACUAAACCAGGACUAAACCAGGUCUAAACCGGGACUAAACCAGGACUAAACCGGGACUAAACCAGGUCUAAACCAGGACUAAACCAGGACUAAACCAGGUCUAAUCCAGGACUGGACCAGGGAUCCCACAGACAUAAAGACACUUGGGAACAGAAAAGAAAGUUCUUCAGUUUAAUGUGGAAAAUCGGUGGAGAUUGUUUAAACAAAGGGGGUUUAUCGUUGUGGGAUCGGUAUCGAGUAUCGGUAUCGAGUAUCGAGUCCGUUCCAGUUGGAUGUGUUCCAUCCCUGACGUCUCUUCUUCUGCUGCUGGAGGUUUUGUUUCUGGAUGAACUCGAGCUCCAGAUUCUUCGUCUCGUUUUUCGUAUCGUCACAGAUCCGACACUGAGCGGCUUCUUCUGCUUCUUCUGCUUCUUCUGCUUCUUCUGCUUCUUCUGCUUCUUCUGCUUCUGGAGGUUCUUCUGGUUCUUCUGGUGGUUCUGGAGGUUCUGGAGGUUCUGGUUCUGUUUUGUGAUUGAAUUUCCUCGUGAACGUGGCUCUGUGUUUUCUUUAUCUCGACUCCUCAGACCGAGUUGAGGCUCGGAGCGACUCACAGCUCCAGAAUCACACAAACUCUGAGACAAAGUCUCAGCUUCAAGUCUUGUUCUCAUGUUCUAAUGUUCUAAUGUCCUCAUCUUCCUCCUCACAGACGGAGCUGGUGGAUCCGUGUUCCUUUGGUUCUUUUGAAUUUCAAUUAAAAAUAAUCAAAUGUGAAAAUAUUUUGUUGUUUCAUUUUUCAGUUUUAGUUUCAAACAAAAAAAAAACAAACAGAUUUCGACCUCGAUUUCCAACAUUUAAUCUAAAGUUUAUUUUAAAUCUCACAGAGAGUCUGGAGUCUGGAGUUUGAAGUUUGGAGUUUGAAGUUUGGCAGGACUCGGGUCUUUAACAGUUUGUCGAUCCAAACGUCUCGAUAGAAACGAGACACUUUCCAUUUGAUUCGCUUCAAUAAAAUCAAGUCUAAAUCAUGUCUGUGAUUCUAAAAAUUUUUAGUUUUGAGUAAAGUUCGUCUGAAACAGAAACAUUUAAAUCGUCAAAACAGAAAAUGUCGAAUGUGUCACACAAACGAGUUUUUUUCCUCUGAACAAAAAAACAAGACUGAAACUGGAACAAAAUCGCUGAGUCAAAUAAACCAAAACUCCUCUCGGUGAUUAAUCCAUAAAACUCGAGAUCUGAACUUCACUUCACUUGAUUUGUUUUCAUGUGAAGAAGUCAGAAAAUGAUUCUUUUAUUUGUUCAGAUUUUGACUUUUUCCUUUGUCCCUAAAGUGAAACAGAAACAGAAAAAGGUGAAAAGAAAAAGACGUCAAACUUAAAGAGCUGCUGUUAAACUCCUGCAGCUGUUCAGACCAACGCCGUGAAGUUUUUUGUUUUUUUUUUAUUUAAAGUUGUUUUAUGUAAAACUCGGACGUUUUUCUCGUCGUCUUUGUUUUUGUUUCUUGGUGAUUGAUGGAGUCAAAGAUCGACGAGUCGUUUAAAAGACGUUUUUUUCUCUGUGAAUAAAACCAGAGGAGCCGCGAUAUCGACACUGUCACUUUAAACGAUACGAUAUAUCGAUAUUUUUGCACAGCGUUUGUGUUUAUUUUAAUGUUGAUCUUUUAUUUUCUGUUUUAGUUGAAGUUUUGUUUCUUCUUUUACAGCGACGUGUUUUUAUUUUCACGUUUUACAAAGUUUGUUUUGAUCCUCGACAAGAAACACGAAACUGAGAAAAUAUUUUUCUGAAACACAAAACUGUAAUAAAAAUAUUUUAGAUUUUAGAUCCGAGUUUGACUCUGGAUCCCGAUCGAAGCCGCAGCAGAAAAUCAAAUAUCAAAGUUAAAACAGACACGAGACGGUUUGGAUUUGUUUGAAAUAAACUUUAAAUUCAAUUUUAAAAAUCAAGGAUGAAUUUUGUUUAUGAAAAAACUGAUUAUUUAUGAUUAUUGAUUAUUUUGAAUUGAAAUUCAAAAGAAGAAACAGAAAAGUCUCAGAGCUCUGAGUCCAGUUUGUUUGAGUACAUUUUUACUGUGAGUCUCCAAACGCUCUGCUCCACCUCAUGAUGUCAUCAGGUGAACAGCUCCUUCUCCUUUAGUUUCCUCCACGGCUGAAAUGUUCCAGAUGAUUCUAGUGAAGGUGAAGUGUGGAGUUUAAAAACACAGUGGAGCACUUCCUGUACCACCACAUGAUGACAUCACCAGGUGGAACGGAAUGAGUUCUUUCUGUGAUUUUAGUCGAUUUGAUGAAAAUGUGAUUUUGUGUCUGAGAAGAAACAGAAACAAACACGUCACGUCCUGAUUUCAUCAAAAUAUAUUUAAUUUAAACUGUGGUUUUAUUAUUAUUAUUAUUAUAUUUUUAUUUUAAUCAUUAUUAUUAUUUUAUAAACAAAAGUGUUUCCAGAUGCUUCAUGGAGCCGUGUAAAAUAUUUUACUUUAAGAGAAA